This 497-nucleotide ribosomal RNA is filed under the name uncultured bacterium. Its description in RNAcentral is "partial 16S ribosomal RNA". It matches the Rfam family "Bacterial small subunit ribosomal RNA", at positions 28 to 507 of the family's 1533-position model. The record is from RNAcentral.
GAUGAACGCUGGCGGCGUGCCUAAUACAUGCAAGUCGAGCGAACAGACGAGGAGCUUGCUCCUUCGACGUUAGCGGCGGACGGGUGAGUAACACGUAGGUAACCUACCUAUAAGACUGGGAUAACUUCGGGAAACCGGAGCUAGUACCGGAUAAUAUUUCGAACCGCAUGGUUCGAUAGUGAAAGAUGGCUUUGCUAUCACUUAUAGAUGGACCUGCGCCGUAUUAGCUAGUUGGUAAGGUAACGGCUUACCAAGGCAACGAUACGUAGCCGACCUGAGAGGGUGAUCGGCCACACUGGAACUGAGACACGGUCCAGACUCCUACGGGAGGCAGCAGUAGGGAAUCUUCCGCAAUGGGCGAAAGCCUGACGGAGCAACGCCGCGUGAGUGAUGAAGGUCUUCGGAUCGUAAAACUCUGUUAUUAGGGAAGAACAAACGUGUAAGUAACUGUGCACGUCUUGACGGUACCUAAUCAGAAAGCCACGGCUAACUACGUG